This 2148-nucleotide long non-coding RNA is filed under the name Homo sapiens (human). Its description in RNAcentral is "HSALNT0408594". Lineage: Eukaryota; Metazoa; Chordata; Mammalia; Primates; Hominidae. The record is from RNAcentral.
UCCCUCUCCCCUCUGGCUCCCAGCCAGAGGACUUUCUUCCCAAGAGGAGCAGCACUUCAGCAUCAUUCAUACUGACACCAGCUACUUGUUUCUGAGGCUAAGUAUCAGAUGCGAUUCCUCCCGUGAUCUCAGUGAUUGUAUCAGGCGAAAACGAGGAGGGCAAAAUACCGUCCAGAUGUAAACUAGGAGCAGCCGCACCAGCAGCACCAGCAGAAUGCCGUGGUAGUGCGGCAGGCCCUGGCCCCAUGGACAAAGAGAAACUCGUCAGUGGCAGUGGCCACGAACUCAGAAAGCCUGAGGACAGUCAGCAGCUCCUCUGGCUCUUCACUUUCACACUGGUGCAACUACAGGAGCUGAAGAACAUUUUUCAACUCGUUCCAUACCCGGACGUGUUAGAUGGAGUCUCCCUCUGUCGCCCAGGCUGGAGUGCAGUGGCGCGAUCUCGGCUCACUGCAACCUCCACCUCCCGGUUUUAUGCGAUUCUCCUGCCUCAGCCUCCCGAGUAGCUGGGACUACAGUGGCCUCAGGGAUAUGGAAUUAAGAUCCACCUGGUGUGAUGAAUAAACCCAGACUCUCAGCAACGCAGGAAAAAAAAAACAAAAACUGGCUGGCGAUCUGGAGUAAAGGAUCCUCACAUCCACGUGAACCAGGAAACUCUGUGCCCAAAUCGACGAAAAAAAAACACUGGGAGAGCCGAACUAAAAGUCUUUUAGCACGGGUACCAGCCCUAGAAUUUCCAGUACACCAGCAGCAGCCUGGAAACCACAUCCUCAUCAAAAGACAGAAAGAAAAAAACUCGAGCCAGCCUGAGAAGGACCCUAUUUUAUGCUGUUAACCACUGAGACUGCCAUCCUCACAGCUGAGAAAGGAUGGACCCACCAUACUCAAGUCAAGAAAACAUCUUCCUCGUCAGAAUCAUGGGUUACUGUACUAGGAUUAAGCCUUACUAAGUUAAAGUUAAAGAAAGCUUAAUUUUCAUAUACCUUCUAUAUUGCUUCUUUUCCUUUCCUUAUUCUGUUACUAGCUCCUUUGUUAUUAAUGUAACUAAGUCUGAGUCACCUCAGACCAUUGCCUUUUAUGCUUGCUCUGUCAUACCUUGUGGAAAUGUAAAAGAUCAAUGACAGCUAGCCUUUUCACACAAUUAUUUAUGCCUCGGCCCUCUAAUUGACACAGUUACCCCUAGCACUCAUCGUUGUGAUCACCUGCAGCCAAGACGCUGAUUUUCUGCUCCUAUAGCCUGGCAACCUUGUGGUACAUGGGACUACGUCCUUUAAACUACCCAGGAGCAAAGUUGGACUUCCAUGAAAAAGGUUUGUGCAGAUCUAAAACCUCUCAUCUAUUUCACUAAAAGGACUUCCCCUUCUAACUGUCACCCUUACCAAUGUAACCCUGUCCUCUCUAUCACCACCUCCACCUGUCUUUAACUAACUCUAGACCUGUCCUUAAUUGCUUUUAUGGUAUUGGAAUAGGAAUUAAAAGAAAUUAAAGAAUGUGUAAGGAGAAACUCAGUUGUAUGUAAGAAAACCCAAUUCCCCCUGAGAAAGAGAAAGAGUUGGAGUCCUUUAAAAAUUAACUGCCUGUUUUUCUGUGGCUAGUGAGCCUUAUCUCUCCUCCUUUCCCAGACAUUGUGAAGACCCUGUUUCUCUAGCUGUGCAGCUGCAAGGUCACUAGACAGAUAAACUCAAGUUGUAAAACAUGUUUUUCCUUGAAAAGUAAGAAAUGCUGUAAUGCAUUUCUCAAUUAAUUAAAUAACUGUCUUUGUUUCUCGCUUCUGUAAUAUGCUUCCCCCUGCACAGAUCUCCACCCACCCUACAAAAUGCUUAAAAGGUAACUUAACUCUUUGUUCUGGGCUCAGUCCUUUGGGCUGAGUACUGGGCCGGUGCACCUAAAUAAUAAAUAUCUUCCUGAACCCCAUUUGUCUCUCUGAUUCCUUAAAAAAUCCCGCAACAUUUCUGGGGACUCGCCUGGGAUUGGAGACGACAGAUUUACUGUCUCCUUUGCCUGUGGGGACUAGAGCCCAAGGACCGGGGGAGACCCGGCAUCCAAGGUGUAUCACAGGGGAGCUUCACCCAGACAGAGAUAGGCUCUCCCCGCAUCCCAGUGGCCUGCCCAGCAGUGCAAUGGAACCGGGGAUGGGGCUGCAGGAAG